CACCACUGGAUGGGGUAUUAGCCUGCAAACCAUCACUAUUCUCUGGGCGUGUUUCUUUUCCAUCGAUGAUAACAUGGGUGCCUGCAAAGUGAGCCUUUUUCCCAUUUUUCUUUGCCGCUUCAAUCAUUGGCCACAGCUUGUUGCGUAUUGCCUUGUCUUCAGCUGUUAGAUCUUCAGUAAAUCUCAGCUUGUGGUUUUUGAGGUAUUCGCUCUUUUUUGCCACUCUCCACAGAAGAUCUCUUGUGGAUCUGUUUGUGAAGCGGAUGAUGGUGGUUCUUGGUUGGUUUUGGGAACUCUGGUAUUUCCCUAGGCGAUGUGUAAUGUCAAUAUUAUCUGUAAUUUUCUGUUGAGAACCAGGCAACAUAGAACAGCAAAUGUUGAUAACUUUGGCCUUGAUGUCUUCUGGGUUGUCUUCAGGGAUGCCGUGAAGUCUGAGGUUCCAUCUGCGAGUAUAACGUUCUGCUUCAUUGACCUUUUGCUGCAAGUCUGCAAUCUGUUGUUCAUAUUUUACGCUAGCAGCCUGGACUUCCUUCAUGUCAGAUUUAAGAGAUUCAACUUCAGCAAAAGCAAAAUCAACUUAUUUUUUUUUAAGGGCAUCAAUGCUCACCGCAUUCUUAGUAAUCAUGCCUUCCAAGUUGUCGGCGCGCACAUUGAUUGCAGUGAGGAUGCUAGCUUGUAGAUCAGCUAAAGACAUCUCUGCCUUUUGUUUUUUCUCUCUUGGUUUGACUGGAGUAUCUGUGGCAGAUGGUGGCAGAGGAACUAGAUCAUCAUCACCAUCGAGCUGGGUUUGCAGACAUGUGCAGUCAUAGUCAUGGUCCAUAUUGACCGAAGAAGGAUGGAAAGAAGUCUUGGACGUAGCAUUAGCGGAGGAACUCCGAGCCUUGUUCACGUCAAGGGGCACGCCAAAAAUCAUUCCUUCUUGCGCAAAAAUUGUUGUGAAAAUGUGUGCAAGAAGGACUGGAGAGCACGAGGAAGAAGUUCAUGGACUAAAAAAGGAGGAGGAGCCACAACGUCAACUACUGGACCCUGUGUUCAAUCUGCAGCCUCGAAUUGUCCUACGCAGAGCAGAUGUCAGUGAAAAUCUUCAUCCAGAGCGGCAGCAGUCAGUGUCCCUUCACAUCAAAGAGGAAAAGGAGGGUGAAGAGAUUCAAAGCAUUAAGGAUGAAGAGAAAGAAAUCCUACACUUGAAAGAGGAAGAGAAGGAAGAAAUCAUCCAGGUUCCAUCCACUGGUGUUCAUUUCAAGAGUGAAGAUGAAGGUCAAAGUGAAGAGAGAGGAGGGGCGGAGCCUCCAACUAGGAACAGCUCAAGUGAUGGAGACCAUUGUGAAGGAUCACAAACAGAUGAUGAUGAUGAUGAUGUUGAUGAUCAACAAUCGGAAAGUGAUAUGACAUGUCACACUUCCAACAAAUGCUGGAAAUGUUCUCAGUGUAGGAAAGCUUUUGCUUCUGUGAGAAAUUUCAAACAACACAUGAAAGUACACACAAGUGAGAAAUCUUUUGCAUGCUCAGUUUGUGGUCAAACAUUCACUCAGAAAGAACAUUUAAAAACACACAUAAAAACAUACACUGAUGGGAAACCUUUCUCCUGCAUAGUCUGUGGUCACAGAUUUACCCGGAAGGGAGAUUUAAAAAGACACACAAGAACACACUCUGGUGAGAAGCCUUUUGCAUGCUCAGUUUGUGGUCAAAGUUUCACUCGAAAGGAACACUUAAAAAUACACACAAGAACCCACACUGGUGAGAAACCUUUUUGUUGCACAGUUUGUGGUCAAAGAUUCUCUGUGAUUGAAAGUUUAAAAAGACACACAAGAACACACCGGUGAGGAACUAUUUUCAUGUCCUUAAAAGUACACACCAGAACACACACUGGUCAGAAGGCAUUUUUCUGCACAGUUGUGUUCAAAGAUUUUCACGGAAGAUUGACUUAAAAAUACACACCAGAACACACACUGGUUAGAAAACUUUUUCAUGUCCUGUUUGUGAUAAAAGAAUUACUGAGAAUGGUAAUGCGCAGUUGUCAAAGAUUCUCUUCUAAGGCGUUGGCCUCACAGUUCUGAGGACCCGGGUUCAAUCCUGGCCCUGCCUGUGUGGAGUUUGCAUGUUCUCCCCGUGCCUGCGUGUGUGUUCUCCGGGCACUCCAGUUUCCUCCCACAUCCCCAAAAGAUGCAACAUUAAUUGGACACUUAAAUUGCCCCUAGGUGUGAUUGUGAGUGCGGGUGUUUGUCUCGAUGUGCCCUGCGAUUGGCUGGCAACCAGGUCAGGGUGAACCCCGCCUCCUGCCCGUUGACAGCUGGGAUAGGCUCCAGCUUGCCCUGCGAUCCUUGUGAAGAUAAGAGGCAAAGAAAAUGGAUGAAUGGUUGGAUUCUCUUCUAAGUAUCAGGCUCAGACACACGCGUGUUUUAAGAGGCCUUAAAAGUAAAUGUGUAAAAUGAAAGAAAUUACUAUUGAUAAUAUUCUUGUAUUUUGUGUACAAGCAUUUAUUGCAACUUCGACCCAUAACAAAUGAUCUGAUUUGACCUUAUCUGAUCCGUAAAAGCUAAAAUAUUGGGCUAAUAAUUCAAAAUAUAUGUAUCCAUCCAUCCCUCCAUUUUCUAGGCCGCUUAGUCUCACAAGGGUUACGAGAGGUCUGGAGCCUAUCACAGAUAUGUUCGAGCAGGUGGCAGGGUACACCCGCAACUGGUUGCCAGCGAAUCGCAGGGCACAUGGAGACAGGCAGCAAUCACACUCAGAAUCUUACCUUGGGGCAAUUUGGAGUCUCAAAUCAAUGCAUGUUUUUGGUAUGUAGGAGGAAACCCACGCAACCACAGGGAGAACAUGCAAAUUCCACACAGGCGGGGCUGGGAUUUUAAUCCCGGUCCUAAGAACAAACAGUAUUAAAUUGCCUUGAGUCGAAAUGUCUGCAUAUAUUUUUGGGGACAUGAAGCCACAUUUCUUUGGUGAGGUUUCUAAUGAAAGUGAUACUUGUUGCCCUGUUGUCAUUUUUAUGACAUCCUUAAUAUUUCCCAAUCCAUAAUUUCUUUUGUUCCACCCGAUUUCUAUCAUGUAUAAAAUGAAUGUGAAUAUAUAAAAAAGUACUGAUUACGAUUUACUUCAUUUUACAGCACAUUCCUUUUCCCUCUACAGCUGUGCUACUGAUUUUAAUGUUGGAUUUUGUUGAUGAAAAACGAGUGUACAAAAGGGAAUUCUUUAUUUACCAAUUGCUCCAAAAUGUAUUAUUUUCUUGUGCAUCCAUGCAUUUUGUCCCAUGUCUUAGUGGUGUCAAUAUCAAAUAUGUGAAUAAUUAAUUGAAAUAGACUGGAAAGAAACUUUGACUUUUGGUGAUAAAGUGUAUGUGAUCCUUCAUAAAAUACACUUCAACCGGUGA
Syngnathoides biaculeatus (alligator pipefish) is the source of this 3364-nucleotide RNA transcript. It is a transcript of the gene named zinc finger protein 37-like, with no coding region annotated. The transcript is spliced from 3 exons. The record is from RefSeq and is a predicted model, not a curated record. NCBI's taxonomy places the organism in Eukaryota, Metazoa, Chordata, Actinopteri, Syngnathiformes, Syngnathidae.